GGAGAUGAUUGGGUAGCUGCUGUAAAAGUUUUUUAUAGAGGAAAGUCCGGGCUUCAUGGAACUAUGAUGCUGAGUAACGCUCAGAUAGAGUGAUCUAAUAGAUAGUGCCACAGAAAAUAUACCGCCUUUUAAAGGUAAGGGUGAAAAGGUAAGGUAAGAGCUUACCGGGCCUCUAGCAAUAGAGGCCGCAUGGUAAACCUCAUCAGAAGCAAGACCGUGCAAUGCGUACCUAUGACCGUAUGGUCUAGGAGCUAUGGUUUCAAGCCAAACGCAUGGGUAGGUCGCAUGAAUUAAGUGGCAACACUUAAUCAAGAUGAAUAGCUACCGUUGGUGAUACCAACACAGAACCCGGCUUAUAGAUCAUCUCCGCUG
Molecule: RNase P RNA, 372 nt
Filed under: Rickettsiales endosymbiont of Peranema trichophorum
Lineage: Bacteria; Pseudomonadati; Pseudomonadota; Alphaproteobacteria; Rickettsiales
Description: Bacterial RNase P class A
Rfam family: Bacterial RNase P class A
About the family: Ribonuclease P (RNase P) is a ubiquitous endoribonuclease, found in archaea, bacteria and eukarya as well as chloroplasts and mitochondria. Its best characterised activity is the generation of mature 5'-ends of tRNAs by cleaving the 5'-leader elements of precursor-tRNAs. Cellular RNase Ps are ribonucleoproteins.
Source: Rfam by way of RNAcentral